RNAcentral lists this ribosomal RNA (301 nucleotides) under uncultured bacterium. Its description in RNAcentral is "partial 16S ribosomal RNA". It matches the Rfam family "Bacterial small subunit ribosomal RNA", at positions 509 to 807 of the family's 1533-position model. The record is from RNAcentral.
CAGCCGCCGCGGUAACACGAAGGGGGCUAGCGUUGCUCGGAAUGACUGGGCGUAAAGGGCGCGUAGGCGGCGAUCAAAGUCAGGCGUGAAAUUCCUGGGCUCAACCUGGGGGCUGCGCUUGAUACUUGGUUGCUUGAGUGGGGAAGAGGGUCGUGGAAUUCCCAGUGUAGAGGUGAAAUUCGUAGAUAUUGGGAAGAACACCGGUGGCGAAGGCGGCGACCUGGUCCUUGACUGACGCUGAGGCGCGAAAGCGUGGGGAGCAAACAGGAUUAGAUACCCCUGUAGUCCCUGUCUCUUAUAC